ACCUCCCCCAAUCUCCUCACUGCACUGUCAUGUGUCCUCCAGUUGACCAUCCCAAUGCCUCUGAUCGCACAGUUCGAUCCAUCCGAUAGAUAUACAAUGCUCUCACUGUUUUCUAGGAAGUCAAACUGCUCCUCUCUGCAACAUACAUAAUAGGGGCAUGCAGAAUCUAAUGUUCACUGCUGGAAAGAAGUAGAUACCUCAUCAAAUAUCUUCAGGACAUCUCCAUCUGAAUCACUGCCGGUCGUCGCUACAGUAGCCAUCGUCCGAUUUUUGAGUUGAGGGC
RNAcentral lists this long non-coding RNA (283 nucleotides) under Elaeis guineensis (African oil palm). Its description in RNAcentral is "long non-coding RNA (EGUI_LNC044249)". The record is from RNAcentral. Lineage: Eukaryota; Viridiplantae; Streptophyta; Magnoliopsida; Arecales; Arecaceae.